AUCUUGAAUAAAUUCGAUAAAUCUGUAAACACAAAACAAAUAGAGUAGGAACUUGAUUUGUUAUAAAUUUCGUAGAUUUUCACGGGUACCUCUAAUGGCACCUUUAGUGAUCGUUUAUUUCUGUUGGUACUUGAGAAUCAAAUAAAUGUCUCUUCGUACGACGGCCGUCGGAUAUUUACAGUCGACAUUGAGAAACUCCUCUUGCGUUUAAACGCGUCAUCGUGUUUCUUCUUAUUGCCGCUUCAAUAUUACUUUAUUCGAGACAACAAAUCUUUGUGCCCUUCGUCAAUCAUACGCGAAAACAUUUUCAAAGUAUUCGGUCAAAGUUUCAAAACAUUCAUCUUACAAGACUGAAGAAUGUAGUACGUCGACAUAGUAAAUAAAGUUAAAGUAAAUACGCGUGUCUAAACUUUCGUAGUAUUUUUUCCAAAGACUCUGUAUAUCGCGUGUACGUCUAGGAAUAUUAGUUUCUUUUUUACAUUUUUUUCAGGUUUGCUUAUAUUCCCAGAAAAUCGAGCUCGAGUUCGAGCUAUUUCGGCGAAUUCCAAAGGCGAUGUAAACAAUCGCGGAAUGGAACCGAAUGGAACGAUGAUCGAAUCAGUUCUCUUUGAAAAUUCGUGGAGACAGGAGGCUACCGAUCCUAUCGUAUCAUAAUUUGUAAUAUUGUAAAUCACGAAUUUAACGUGCACACGUUCGAUUUAUCCUAAGGCGCAACGAACUCGUAAAAAUCGACUCCUGAUCUAUUCAAACUAUUUUUACCAAUUCUUCCUUCUAGCGGCCGCUUCUCCAUAAUCAAGCCAUCUAAUUAUAGGACAGCACCUUCCAACUUCUCGGAGGAGAGAAGUUUAGUUCUUACAAUUAGCUGGCUCCGAGCUACAUCGUAGAGUAUGGCGAACCGUGAAUCUUAUUUCGCAUUUAAUCAAAGUAAUUGCUAACCAUCGUUGCUUGCCACAGAGGACUUCCUUCCACUUUUCACCCUCUCUUUCCUUCACCUCGCUUUUUCUUUUCCUCGCUUCUUAGAUAUCUUUCCGUAGAAAUUAUGCGCAUAUCCAAAUACCGAGUUUUAUCAUCGCGUCGUUGCUUUCGUUCCUUAUUGAAACGAUCGUAUAAUUUAAUCUUUUCGGACUAUUAUCAAAUGAAGUUAGGUUAAUGCUAUUAAUGGCGAUACUACUUUAGAAUCGAUUCUUUCUUAAUUCAGAAAUCGAUGCGAUCGAACGUAUUUGAUUAAAUGUUUUGUCGUCGUCUUGACCAUUGAACGAAAAGUAGAAAAUUUAUUGUUCCCAGUCGCUGCGAAUGAAAUUGAAUAAUAUUCAAACCAAAUUCUAAGAAGGUUAUAUAAAUUCACAGUUUUCGAGCUGCUCCGAAGCUCCGUCGACGAAAGUAAAACGAUGACAAAACCAGGAGGUUUCUUUCAACGCAUUGACCCGGUAUCGUUUUUGUUACGAAUGUUUGUUCCUCCUCGAUACUAGCAAAAAGAUCGUUAGUGGGUCCUAGAAGUGCUAUAUCGAUAUCGUUUAUCGAUUCUAAUUUACUGGAAAGUCAUUAACGAAUAAAAACCUUUUGAAAUGUA
Molecule: long non-coding RNA, 1570 nt
Organism: Vespula pensylvanica (western yellowjacket)
Lineage: Eukaryota; Metazoa; Arthropoda; Insecta; Hymenoptera; Vespidae
Exons: 2
Source: RefSeq, a predicted model, not a curated record